RNAcentral lists this ribosomal RNA (468 nucleotides) under uncultured bacterium. Its description in RNAcentral is "bacterial SSU rRNA". It matches the Rfam family "Bacterial small subunit ribosomal RNA", at positions 28 to 507 of the family's 1533-position model. The record is from RNAcentral.
GACGAACGCUGGCGGCGUGCCUAAUGCAUGCAAGUCGAGCGGGCUACGAUCUUCGGAUUGUAGCUUAGCGGCGAACGGGUGAGUAACACGUAGGUAAUCUACCCUUCAGAGGAGGACAACCUCAGGAAACUGAGGCUAAACCUUCAUACGUUCACUGGUAGGGAUACUGGUGAAGAAAGAGUUACCUUAGUGGUAGCUGCUGAAGGAUGAGCCUGCGGCCCAUCAGGUAGUUGGUGAGGUAACGGCUCACCAAGCCGAAGACGGGUAACCGGUCUGAGAGGAUGUCCGGUCACACUGGGACUGAGACACGGCCCAGACUCCUACGGGAGGCAGCAGUGGGGAAUAUUGCACAAUGGGGGAAACCCUGAUGCAGCAACGCCGCGUGAAUGAUGACGGCCUUCGGGUUGUAAGUUCUUUGAUUGGGACGAAAUGACGGUACCCAAAAACAAGACCACGGCUAACUACGUG